RNAcentral lists this ribosomal RNA (499 nucleotides) under uncultured bacterium. RNAcentral describes it as "partial 16S ribosomal RNA". It matches the Rfam family "Bacterial small subunit ribosomal RNA", at positions 30 to 523 of the family's 1533-position model. The record is from RNAcentral.
AUUGAACGCUGGCGGCAUGCUUUACACAUGCAAGUCGAACGGUAACAGGGUGCUUGCACCGCUGACGAGUGGCGAACGGGUGAGUAAUGCGUCGGAACGCACCGAGUAAUGGGGGAUAACGCAGCGAAAGCUGUGCUAAUACCGCAUACGCUCUGAGGAGGAAAGCGGGGGACCUUCGGGCCUCGCGUCAUUCGAGCGGCCGACGUCUGAUUAGCUAGUAGGUGAGGUAAGAGCUCACCUAGGCGACGAUCAGUAGCGGGUCUGAGAGGAUGAGCCGCCACACUGGGACUGCGACACGGCCCCGACUCCGACGGGAGGCAGCAGUGGGGAAUUUUGGACAAUGGGCGCAAGCCUGAUCCAGCCAUGCCGCGUGUCUGAAGAAGGCCUUCGGGUGUAAAGGACUUUUGUCAGGGAGGAAAUCCUUAGCGCUAAUACCGUUGAGGGAUGACAGUACCUGAAGAAUAAGCACCGGCUAACUACGUGCCAGCCGCCGCAGUAA